RNAcentral lists this ribosomal RNA (481 nucleotides) under uncultured bacterium. Its description in RNAcentral is "partial 16S ribosomal RNA". It matches the Rfam family "Bacterial small subunit ribosomal RNA", at positions 30 to 506 of the family's 1533-position model. The record is from RNAcentral.
AUUGAACGCUGGCGGCAUGCCUUACACAUGCAAGUCGAACGGUAACGGGCCUUCGGGUGCCGACGAGUGGCGAACGGGUGAGUAAUACAUCGGAACGUGCCCGAUCGUGGGGGAUAACGAGGCGAAAGCUUUGCUAAUACCGCAUACGAUCUACGGAUGAAAGCAGGGGACCGCAAGGCCUUGCGCGGACGGAGCGGCCGAUGGCAGAUUAGGUAGUUGGUGGGAUAAAAGCUUACCAAGCCGACGAUCUGUAGCUGGUCUGAGAGGAUGAUCAGCCACACUGGGACUGAGACACGGCCCAGACUCCUACGGGAGGCAGCAGGGGGGAAUUUUGGAAAAGGGGCGCAAGCCUGAUCCAGCCAGGCCGCGUGAAGGAUGAAGGCCUUCGGGUUGUAAACUUCUUUUGUACGGAACGAAAAGCCUUCUUUUAAAACAGGGGGGUAAUGACGGUACCGAAAGAAAAAGCCCCGGCUAACUACGU